UACGUAGGGUGCGAGCGUUGUCCGGAUUUAUUGGGCGUAAAACGCGCGUAGGCGGCCCUGCAAGUCGGGGGUGAAAGCCCGAGGCUCAACCUCGGAACUGCCUUCGAUACUGCGGGUCUCGAGUCCGGGAGAGGUGAGUGGAAUUCCUAGUGUAGAGGUGAAAUUCGUAGAUAUUAGGAAGAACACCAGUGGCGAAGGCGGCUCACUGGCCCGGUACUGACGCUGAGGCGCGAAAGCGUGGGGAGCAAACAGG
This 253-nucleotide ribosomal RNA is filed under the name uncultured bacterium. RNAcentral describes it as "partial 16S ribosomal RNA". It matches the Rfam family "Bacterial small subunit ribosomal RNA", at positions 524 to 776 of the family's 1533-position model. The record is from RNAcentral.